RNAcentral lists this ribosomal RNA (1092 nucleotides) under Triticum aestivum (bread wheat). Its description in RNAcentral is "partial small subunit ribosomal RNA". The record is from RNAcentral. Lineage: Eukaryota; Viridiplantae; Streptophyta; Magnoliopsida; Poales; Poaceae.
AUGGAGGUCGAAAUCCGUGUAGAGCACCGCAUCCGCGCGCCUAACACAGGGGAAUGGCAAUGGCAAUGGCAUCAUCUCCGAAGCGCCGCCGCCAAGGCGCUGCACGACCCCGUCCUCGUCGUCAACUUCCUGCUCCUGGCCGUCGGCACGGCCUGCGGCCCGCUUCUCCUCCGCCUCUACUUUCUGCACGGCGGUACCCGCAAGUGGCUCUCGAGCCUGCUCCAGACGGCCGGCUGGCCGCUCCUCCUCCUGCCGCUCAGCGCCUCCUUCUACUCCCGCCGGCGCCGCCCACGCCCAGAGGUAGUCGUAGCCGACGGCGUCUUCCUCAUGACGCCCCGCCUCCUGGCCGCGUCCGUCGUCGUCGGCCUCAUGACCGGCGCCGACAACUUGCUCUACGCCUACGGCCAGGCCUACCUCCCAGUCUCCACCUCCUCCAUCCUCAUCUCUACGCAGCUGGCCUUCACGGCCGCCUUCGCGCUGCUGCUCGUUCGCCACCGCUUCACUGCCUCCACUGUGAACGCGGUCGUGCUGCUCACCCUCGGCGCCGCCAUGAUUGGGAUGGACUCCGGAGGGGACCGGCCGGCGGGCGUCUCGGGAGGCCAGUACGCAGCCGGGUUCGGCACCACGCUUGGCGCCGCCGCGCUGUACGGCCUCAUACUGCCCGUCAUGGAGCUCAGCCAGGCGUGGCACUCCGGCGCCGCGGCCCUCACCUAUACCCACGUCGUUGAGAUGCAGGUCGUCAUCGGGCUCACCGCCACAGCCUUCUCCGCCGUCGGCAUGCUACUGAACAACGAUUUCCAGGCAAUCCUAGGAGAAGCCCGACAGUUCGAACUUGGCCAGGUGGGCUACUACCUAUUGUUGCUCGGUACAGCCGCCGUGUUCCAGUGCUUUUGCCUCGGCGCGAUCGGCGCCAUCUUCUACAGCUCGGCGCUGCUUGCCGGAGUCAUCAUCACCGUGCUCAUCCCUGUGACUGAGGUCCUCGCUGUUAUCUUCUUCCAUGAACCCUUUAGCAGCACCAAGGGCGUCGCCCUAGGGAUAUCGCUCUGGGGCCUUGCAUCAUAUUUCUACGGUGAGGUGCCGAAUAGGCCCUAG